RNAcentral lists this ribosomal RNA (446 nucleotides) under uncultured bacterium. Its description in RNAcentral is "SSU rRNA". It matches the Rfam family "Bacterial small subunit ribosomal RNA", at positions 26 to 518 of the family's 1533-position model. The record is from RNAcentral.
AGAGCGAACGCUGGCGGCAUGCUUAACACAUGCAAGUCGCACGGUCAGCAAUGGCAGUGGCGGACGGGUGAGUAACGCGUAGGAAUCUAUCCAGAGGUGGGGGACAACCGUGGGAAACUACGGCUAAUACCGCAUGUUACCUGAGGGUUAAAGGCGCAAGUCGCCUUUGGAGGAGCCUGCGUCUGAUUAGCUUGUUGGUGGGGUAAAGGCUUACCAAGGCGACGAUCAGUAGCUGGUCUGAGAGGAUGAUCAGCCACAUUGGGACUGAGACACGGCCCAAACUCCUACGGGAGGCAGCAGUGGGGAAUAUUGGACAAUGGGCGCAAGCCUGAUCCAGCAAUGCCGCGUGGGUGAAGAAGGUCUUCGGAUUGUAAAGCCCUUUUGGCAGGGACGAUGAUGACGGUACCUGCAGAAUAAGCCCCGGCUAACUUCGUGCCAGCAGCCGC